RNAcentral lists this microRNA precursor (82 nucleotides) under Astyanax mexicanus (Mexican tetra). RNAcentral describes it as "mir-459 microRNA precursor family". It matches the Rfam family "mir-459 microRNA precursor family". The record is from Rfam by way of RNAcentral. Lineage: Eukaryota; Metazoa; Chordata; Actinopteri; Characiformes; Acestrorhamphidae.
CCUCCUGCUGUCAGUAACAAGGAUUCAUCCUGUUGUGAAAAUACAGUUUCAGCAGGGAAUCUCUGUUACUGGCCGUAAAGGA